UACAUGGGGUGCAAACGUUGUUCGGAAUUACUGGGCGUAAAGCGCGUGUAGGCUGCUCUGCGUGUCGGAUGUGAAAGCCCUGGGCUCAACCUAGGAAGUGCAUUCGAAACUGCAGAGCUGGAGUCCUGGAGAGGAAGGCGGAAUUCUCGGUGUAGAGGUGAAAUUCGUAGAUAUCGAGAGGAACACCGGUGGCGAAGGCGGCCUUCUGGACAGUGACUGACGCUGAGACGCGAAAGCGUGGGGAGCAAACAGG
RNAcentral lists this ribosomal RNA (253 nucleotides) under uncultured bacterium. RNAcentral describes it as "partial 16S ribosomal RNA". It matches the Rfam family "Bacterial small subunit ribosomal RNA", at positions 524 to 776 of the family's 1533-position model. The record is from RNAcentral.